ACAAAAAAGAUAACAUUUUUCAAUCCUUAAAUCAUCAACUAUGAGAUUCAGAUUCAUUAUAUAACAUCUGAAACAAUCUGGGAACAUAAUAAUCGCAAUGAGAUCGAGCUCUUAUUUUCACAAAGAAGAAGAAUCAUAAACAAAUGUUGUCUGCAACCUAAAUAAUAAACGAUUCUGUGGAAAGAAACAUAAGAAACUGAAAUGGGUAGCGUAGAAAUCUUACAAAGAUUGAGACUUUGCCACUGAAGCGUCUUCCAGAUUCCUGAUACACUACUAUGGAGUGAUAUUGUGAUUAACUGAUGAUUUUGGAAACAAAUAAAUAAAUAAAUAUCGGUAUCAGUGGCAAAAGGGACUUUAUAUAUAUAUAUUUUUUCUAGGAUUAAAAAGAAUUUAAUAUCAAUAAGAGAUUUGUGAAUUAUAAAAUGAGAGGACAAAAGAUGGGGUUGGUGGUGGUGGAGGGAUCAUCAGCCAAACGAAGAAAAGGCCAAAGCAACCGCAUCCCCAUUGAGUGGUAAGUAUUCUUCAAUCUUUAUCUUCUUCUAUUUCUAAA
Molecule: long non-coding RNA, 550 nt
Filed under: Capsella rubella
Lineage: Eukaryota; Viridiplantae; Streptophyta; Magnoliopsida; Brassicales; Brassicaceae
Description: long non-coding RNA (CRUB_LNC000164)
Source: RNAcentral